GGACGGAUUCCUGAUGCACUGGAGGCACUGGAGAUAAUUUACAUCAGAUUAUAGGGACAGAGGCCAGGAGUCAACUGUGAGACGAGCGAGCGUUAGGAAAAGGGUUAAAACGUUAAGACCCUAGGAGGCCUUCCAUUCGCCUGCGUCACUCGUCCCCAUCCUCACGCCUGUUCGCUUUCUCCUUUCUCCGAUUUGGUCCUCCCAUCCCCUGGGCCGCACCGGCUGGGCCGCUACAGCUGCGGAAACGCCUGGGGGAGUCGGAAGAUCGGGUGGUGAAGCUCCAGACGAUGCUGCCGGACCAUGACGGGGAGUUCCGGGGCCUUCGAGCGGAGGUUGAGGAGCUGGAGCGGGUAUGUGCGCGUGAGGCUGUGUGUGCACGCACGUGUGGAUUUCAGGGAGAGAAGGAAACGGCAAGCCUGCUAAGUGAAGUGGAAAAGAUGGCAUGGGUGGAGCGGCCGAUUCCAUUACCACCCGAACGGGAGCUUGGGUCAUCUGCCGGUGUUGGAGAGGGAGAGACAGCAAGUGAUGCAAGGUUUGCGGGAAGCUGCGGCCGCUGACAUUGCAUCCGUUGCAACGGAUAUGGUAAAGAUCCUGAUGUAUAAUGAACCCUCCUCCCAAAUUGGUUCUCCGCUAGGGGCAUGUUGGCAUGCCGCGUGAUGCGUUGUGCUGCAUCUGGCUUGGGCUUGCUCUCACCUUCAGGAGGCGGACCACUUCUGCGACCUGUAUGAACGG
This 732-nucleotide long non-coding RNA is filed under the name Volvox carteri. Its description in RNAcentral is "long non-coding RNA (VCAR_LNC000698)". Lineage: Eukaryota; Viridiplantae; Chlorophyta; Chlorophyceae; Chlamydomonadales; Volvocaceae. The record is from RNAcentral.